UGUCGUCAGGUUCGGCCGGCCAAAUAUUUUCCUUAAAUAUAUUAUUCAUUGGCGCCAGAAGCUCCCACCCUUUUCAUUCUCCCCUUCUAUUCACUCUACAAGAUACAGCUGCCAUUUCUGAACGAUUGAAAGAGUAAAAAAUCACUGGAGUUUCUGGUUGCUUGAAAGGAGAAACAAAGAAAUUACUGGAAGUUGUCUCUCUAGUUGGGUCUGUUCUCUCUCUCUCUUCACAUCCUUACCCUUUUUUUUUUCCCAUACAGAUUGACACAUUUUUUACAUAGCUGCCAAAUUUGUUUUACAGAUUGACACUUUCUUUUUACACAGCUACAGACUGAAAUCACUGGAACGGUUUUUUUAACAACUCCCAACUUUUUUUAUUUGUUUUUUUUUUUCUCUAGUUGAGUCGUGAAAGGACCUAGUGAGAAACAAAAACUUGGUUACGGGAACCGAAGGUUCACAAAGUAUAGUAAAUCGUGCUUGAAACACACCAAAAAACGCUCUACAUCCUUCAUUGUGGACUCUUGGGCUGCAUCAAAGUAUUUUUCUUAUUUCUUUGGGGAGUUGAGAUAGUUUUAACUAAUGUUGCCCAUUGUGGAUAUAUGUUAUUAACAAAAUAUUACCUCAUUGCAUAAUUAUGAC
Molecule: long non-coding RNA, 639 nt
Organism: Juglans microcarpa x Juglans regia
Lineage: Eukaryota; Viridiplantae; Streptophyta; Magnoliopsida; Fagales; Juglandaceae
Exons: 2
Source: RefSeq, a predicted model, not a curated record